Long non-coding RNA from Lytechinus variegatus (green sea urchin), 439 nucleotides. RefSeq lists it as uncharacterized. NCBI's taxonomy places the organism in Eukaryota, Metazoa, Echinodermata, Echinoidea, Temnopleuroida, Toxopneustidae. The transcript is spliced from 3 exons. The record is from RefSeq and is a predicted model, not a curated record.
UUUAGUUGUCAUUUUUCAGCCGCAGGAAGCUCUUGCGAAAAAGGGUCUUCGGCUUUCUAUUUGGACGGGAUAGAGGCCUAUUUUGGUGACCCACACAAACGGUGAGAAGAGGUAAAGAGAGAAAGGGGCACAGCAACUGGAAGGAGAGGGAAUUCCAGACACUCUACCACUGUCUGCAAUUGAAUAAGAAAUUUCUCUUUGGAUCAGGGGGUCAAGCUUCUAGUAUGAAGAUUGUUCAAGAGUCAAGACUGUUGAAGAGGUGACGUCAUGGACCUGGUAGCACCUGGCAAGGGAACUAAAUUAUAUUACUGUUCACCCUCAAGUAUCCUAAAAACGGUUUAAAAAUUUGAACAUUAACAAAAGUACUAAUUUUCAUUUUUUCAAAGAUAAUAAUCAUUAUAUUGACAUUGUGGAUAUAUUUUAUGAUUAUCAUAAAAUU